UCCGUUUUGUCAACGGCAGUCUCGCUAGAGUGCUCUUGCGUAGCAACUAACAAUAAGGGUUGCGCUCGUUGCGGGACUUAACCCAACAUCUCACGACACGAGCUGACGACAACCAUGCACCACCUGUCACCGGUGUCCCCGAAGGGAAAACUGUAUCUCUACAGCGGUCACCGGGAUGUCAAGCCCUGGUAAGGUUCUUCGCGUUGCUUCGAAUUAAACCACAUACUCCACCGCUUGUGCGGGCCCCCGUCAAUUCCUUUGAGUUUCAACCUUGCGAUCGUACUCCCCAGGUGGGAUACUUAUUGUGUUAACUGCGGCACGGAGGGGGUCAGACCCCCCACACCUAGUAUCCAUCGUUUACGGCGUGGACUAC
Molecule: unclassified non-coding RNA, 373 nt
Filed under: uncultured Oscillospiraceae bacterium
Lineage: Bacteria; Bacillati; Bacillota; Clostridia; Eubacteriales; Oscillospiraceae
Description: contains 16S-23S intergenic spacer region
Source: RNAcentral